AUUGAACGCUGGCGGCAGGCUUAACACAUGCAAGUCGAACGGGUAGCAAUACCAGUGGCGCACGGGUGAGUAAUGUAUAUGAAUCUGCCCUUAGGUGGGGGAUAGCUUGAAGAAAUUCGAAUUAAUCCCGCAUAAUGCCGAGAGGUGAAAGUCGCAAGACGCCAAAGGAUGAGCAUAUAUUCGAUUAGCUAGUUGGUAGGGUAAAAGCCUACCAAGGCGACGAUCGAUAGCUGGUCUGAGAGGAUGAUCAGCCACAGUGGAACUGAGACACGGUCCACACUCCUACGGGAGGCAGCAGUGGGGAAUAUUCCGCAAUGGGCGAAAGCCUGACGGAGCGAUACCGCGUGUAGGAUGAAGGCUUUAGGGUCGUAAACUACUGUCGUCGGGGAAGAAAGAAAUGACGGUACCCGAAAAGGAAGCACCGGCUAACUCUGUGCCAGCAGCCGCAGUAA
Molecule: ribosomal RNA, 452 nt
Filed under: uncultured bacterium
Lineage: Bacteria
Description: partial 16S ribosomal RNA
Rfam family: Bacterial small subunit ribosomal RNA
Source: RNAcentral